Long non-coding RNA from Maniola jurtina (meadow brown), 453 nucleotides. RefSeq lists it as uncharacterized. Lineage: Eukaryota; Metazoa; Arthropoda; Insecta; Lepidoptera; Nymphalidae. The record is from RefSeq and is a predicted model, not a curated record. The transcript has 3 exons.
GCGAAAAAUCACCAAAUGCAAAAGAAAAAUAGACGGCAUAGGACGUAAUAGUUUAAUCAAAAUGACUCGGACUUUAUUAAUAUUUUUUAUAUCGGUAACAAUAAUGGAUCAAUUAAUCAAGAGUAGCGUGAACGGAGUUAGUAACAACAAUUUAAAUGAUGAAGUAGAACACGAAAGUACCAGUACUUUCCAGCAAAGACUGAAAAUGCUACCUAUAAAAGUAUUUUUGCAAGCAUUGAAAACCAAAAAUGCACUAUCGAAUGGAAUGUCCAAAACAAUGCAGUUAAACGGCAGAAUGGUGGAGGGUUUACAGGAGUCAUCUGGAGCACUCGUUGGUCUUGUUAAAGAUGGCAUUGGCGAUUUGCGUACCUUAGUUUUUGGGAAUUAAUAAUUACCACCCAUAUUUUCGUCCAUUGUUUCGUCCGCGUGGAUUAAGAUCUUAAAAAAAUCCUG